This 440-nucleotide ribosomal RNA is filed under the name uncultured bacterium. RNAcentral describes it as "bacterial SSU rRNA". It matches the Rfam family "Bacterial small subunit ribosomal RNA", at positions 339 to 794 of the family's 1533-position model. The record is from RNAcentral.
AUACGGGAGGCAGCAGCAAGGAAUUUUGGGCAAUGGGCGAAAGCCUGACCCAGCAACGCCGCGUGGGGGAUGAAGGCCCUCGGGUUGUAAACCCCUUUUGCGAGGGAAGAAGAUCUGACGGUACCUCGCGAAUAAGCCACGGCUAACUACGUGCCAGCAGCCGCGGUAAUACGUAGGUGGCAAGCGUUGUCCGGAUUUACUGGGCGUAAAGCGCGCGCAGGCGGACUGGUCAGUCCGGGGUGAAAUCUCACGGCUCAACUGUGAGCGGUCCCCGGAUACUGCCAGCCUUGAGGGGUCUAGAGGAGAGCGGAAUUCCCGGUGUAGUGGUGGAAUGCGUAGAUAUCGGGAAGAACACCAGUGGCGAAAGCGGCUCUCUGGGGAUCACCUGACGCUGAGGCGCGAAAGCGUGGGGAGCGAACCGGAUUAGAUACCCUGGUAGC